GAUGAAGAACGUAGCGAAAUGCGAUACGUAGUGUGAAUUGCAGAAUUCCGUGAACCAUCAAAUCUUUGAACGCAUAUUGCGCUCGAGGCUUCGGCCGAGAGCAUGUCUGCCUCAGCGUCGGUAUUACCCCUCGCUUCUCAACCCCUGGUUGAUGCCUGCCUGCCUUUGCAGUUGGCUAGAAGCGGAUCUGGCUUUCCCAAUUGCCUUUGGUAGUUGGGUCAGCUGAAGCACAGAGGCUUAAACAAGGACCCGAUAUGGGCUUCAACUGGAUAGGUAGUACCGGCUUCUGCCGCCUACACGAAGUUGUAGCUUGUGGACUUUGUUAGGGGCCAAGCAGGAAACAUGCUUGAUUGCAUGCUUAAACUUUCGACCUGAGCUCAGGCAAGGCUACCCGCUGAACUUAAGCAUAUCAAUAAGCGGAGGA
This 424-nucleotide unclassified non-coding RNA is filed under the name soil metagenome. Its description in RNAcentral is "partial contains 5.8S ribosomal RNA, internal transcribed spacer 2, and large subunit ribosomal RNA". The stretch from base 1 to 120 matches the Rfam family "5.8S ribosomal RNA", at positions 35 to 154 of the family's 154-position model. The record is from RNAcentral.